This 719-nucleotide non-coding RNA is filed under the name Pan troglodytes (chimpanzee). Lineage: Eukaryota; Metazoa; Chordata; Mammalia; Primates; Hominidae. The record is from RNAcentral.
GCAUAGGAAAAAACUGACGAAAACAGCAAAAUAAAAAAAUUAAGCAGGAACCAACUCACAUCCUCCAUGGAAAAUCGUGGAAUGUGUAAGGUAACGUGCCAGCUAAAAAAGUUUCAUUUUUUAAAAAAACCUAGCUCUACGUUGUAAACAGUGUCACAUUUAAGACAUUUUAAGAACAGAAAUAUCACACAAGUAUUCACCAACAGAAAGCUGGCAUAGCUAGAUUAGUAUGUCAUGGGACUUUAAGAAAUAGAGCUUAAUGAGGAAGAAGCCCCCCCAAAGACGAGAAACGUUUCUAUACGGGAACACAGCUGGUGACAAACGCACGCCAACAGAAUGGCUAUGGUGGGCUUCACGUCUCUAUAAGCAGCGGACGCACCCUGCCCUCAACAGGCAGCCGCCGUCUCCGGCUCAGGGAACAGGUGUGCCAGCCACGCAGGCACAGGUCUGAGGCAGCGGGGUCUGCAGUGUAUGGGGCCCGCAGGGCAGCGGGAAGGGCUGCACAGAUGAACGCGGGCCUGCAUGCACCUGCGGGAAAACGCAGACACACAUGGGCGGGGGCGGGAGUGGGGGGGAUUGUGGAAGGAAAACAAGAAGAAAAUAUGUUUACGUUUGCUCAGAUUUGCAUACAUACAGGAGGUAAUCACAGUGGUUCUCUAUAGGUCACUACAGACAGCGACAGAGAUGAGAACAAAAUUAAACCUUUUCAAUAAUAUUAA